RNAcentral lists this unclassified non-coding RNA (1166 nucleotides) under Amphibalanus amphitrite. RNAcentral's name for it is "uncharacterized LOC122372587, transcript variant X3". Lineage: Eukaryota; Metazoa; Arthropoda; Thecostraca; Balanomorpha; Balanidae. The record is from RNAcentral.
CUCUAAUAAUCUGCCUAACCGCCUGGGGCCUGGGCUGUAACCGCCUAACCCAAAACAGCAUCAACCUCCACAUGCUCAGAACAAAUUAAAUGAUUUUGAAAAUGAAGAUACAAGAAGGCAAGAUGAGGCAGCUUUAGAUGGAUACCGACCACUGUCAUCUCAUCCAGUUGAUGAUCAAGAUGCUUGUAGUGAAUCCUCAGAUAGCAGCAGUGAUGAUUCUGAGGUAGACAAUGACAACCAGCACCACAGAAUAUUCAUGACAAUACAGUGGCCUGAAGAGAACUCUGAGGAGCAGGCUUCAGAUGACAACCCUGAACCAAGCUCAGAGCACACAUCUUGUUCAGCUGCGGUGAAGCUGGACCCCUCGCAGGACACCCAAGCUCGCACAGCUGCAGCAGGAGGUCCCAAAGAGAUCACCGCUACUGCCGAUCACAAGCGCCUUUCCGCUAGAAAGGAGUGCAAUGCCACCGAUCUGAAGGACCGUUCCGGGGAUCGGGAGAGCUCCUCUGGGACGGGGCACAUGUCUGAGGACCAGACGGAGGCGGUGCGGCGGGCGAUGCAGGCGGUUCGGCUGCCGGAGGACGCCAUGCCGGAGUGGGCGCGUGGCCUCUCCGAUCUCCAGUGUCAGCAGCGUAUCGGACAGAUGGUGGCGAAAAUAACGGGCCAGAGGUAGCGGCGGCGUCUGUGAUCACGUUGAACUUUCUGUGCGAUGCGCGUACAUUCUUCCUUAUUCAUUCCCAGACGCAGUACUGGCUCUUUCGUCGCCAGCGUGUGAACAAAUGUGAAACCAACGGAAUGGUGAGAACGGCGAUGUCUCUUUCAAGAAAUGUAACCGAAUGCUUUUUACGUCAAUGGAAUGGCUUAUUUUAUGUAUUCGUGUCAUACCAUGUGUAAGGUGUGGUCAAGCGUCGAUGUAACGCCCCCCCCCCCCCAUGCGAGUCCGCCUUGGAUGCGCUGUGACCGCCCUUGCGUGUAUCCCAUCGCAUCAGUGACGUAAAGAACAUUUAUUUUAUUUGAGUAAAGUUUAUUAUACACAACUAUGAAAUAAACUAUCACAGAACAGAAGAGAGUGGAAGGAUAUCCGCACUCCCGGAAAACUCUGGAGCUCUCCACGAUUCACUCUGGCCGCACGUGCACCAUUGAAAAAAUAAACAACCGGGGAAUUA